RNAcentral lists this long non-coding RNA (2268 nucleotides) under Polistes dominula (European paper wasp). Its description in RNAcentral is "uncharacterized LOC107063702". The record is from RNAcentral. Lineage: Eukaryota; Metazoa; Arthropoda; Insecta; Hymenoptera; Vespidae.
CAUUUCUCUAGUCGACCUCAAGCUGUAAGGACCGUGUUUGGCUCUAGUCUAAAUUUUAAUUAGUAAAAAGUUUAGUGUUUGAUAUUCAAGUCACGUGUUUUGUUCAUCAACCUCUUCUCACAUAAUCCGCAAUCUACACGGAUCGUGGUGAAAUACGAGCCAGAUACAGUCUCACCGUUUGAGGUGGCUAUGGAAGAAGUGGUUAGGAAGAGAGGAUACUGCCAAUCCAGAUGUCCAUGGACACUAAGCAUUUACCUAGGAAGCUGAGAUACCAUUCUGUCUGGUUCUAGUCUUUCAUCGGUUUGGUUUGUAAACUGUAUCGAACCAAAAUAUUUUAUUAACUUUAAAAUUGUGAAAUUUAUUAACUUUUUAAAUCAAGACUCAAUUUAAUGAACAAUUUGUAGAUGUUUAAUUAGAUUUAUAGACAAUGUGUUCAAGUAUUAGGUCAUCUAGCAAAUUCUUCGGUUUUUCAUAGAUACUCAUUUUAAUUUGUUUUUAUAAAAUUUAAUGAUGAAACCUUAACUUUGAAAUGAUUUUUUGUUUCAUUGCAUGUUAUACUUGAUUGUGGUUUCAUAUUAUACGCUUUAAUCUAUGAAAAUCGCAGAACAAUGUGGAUGACCCAUUUCAGGAUUAAUUUUUAGCAUCAUUGGAAUAACUUGAUUAAUGGUUUAUGUACCUGUAUAAUUUUUGUAAUUAUUUCCAAUGUGAUACUAGAUUGUAGCAUUUAAUAUCUUACUGUGAUAAAGAUAUUGUUAAGUUGAAAUGAUCUCAAGUUUUAGAGUAAUAGAAAAUUUGAUGUACAGUAAACUUUUGUAUAACACUGUUAAUACAUUAAGCAUUUUAAGACAUGUUUAAUAUUUUGAUAUAAAUUUUUGAGAACAUAUUUGCAGAAAAUUCUUUUCUGCAAAUUAUUCUUGAUAAUUACUAACUAGUUUUGUACGAAAGUUUACUGUAGAAGUCUAUUGACGAAAUGUUAAUUCACAUUGAAUUUUGUAUAUUAAAAUAUAUAUAUAUAUAUAUAUUAGUUGAUAUAUAUUUAUAGAUGACGAGAUGAAUAACGGAAGUAUUCACGAAAAUAAAUUGUUUAAAAUAAAAAUGAUUUUCUUCAUAUAAUUUGCCAAUAUCAUACAUAUCAUAUUAAUGCCAUAAAUCCUUUUCAGUCUGGCAUUCACCCUAGAAAAUCCUUGAGCGAGAGAAUACUAAACAAAUAUCGCUGAAGCAAUUGGUUAUCGGCUCUGAAGUUAUUGGCCUGUCCAUAACCCGUAGGAAUAAGAUGUGUGGUGAGACGACAAGAAUUGUAUCGAGUGGGAAAGGGAUGGGUUAGUCUUUGUUUUUAGAAGGUCGUGCAAGCCGCACUUUGAUCUCCAAAUGUGUGGGGGCCCAGUUGAGCAUAAACAUGUACCUACCCACCAUAUCUUCGCACCUUCAGCACACAACCAACUCGCGAGUCUUCUCAAAAACUUCAGCGCGUGAUGCACAAGGCUCACUACAAGGCAGAGAAUUCGUACCACUGUCUGGUGAGCUCUUUCGUAUUGCCAACAACCACCACCCUUGUAACGUGUUUCUUCAGAUUCGGAACAUUUCUACUGAACGUGGAAGAUUCUCAAAAACUCCUCCAGUGCUUGCGCUGCUAAUACCAAUUUACUCUGGUUGUUGACAUGAUGCAAAUCGGCUAUACCAGUAUACAAUCAACUUCAUCGAUACAUUUUAUUAGCAUAACUUUUGAGGUAUGAUGAUUCGUAAUGCAUGUCAGUAAUUAAAGCAAAGAAAUAUGAGAAAAUUGAUCUAUGGUAAAUAUGAGUAGUAGUUUCACACAAAAGAGUUAUGAAUGAAAAAUAGCAAUGGGUUUUACUAACAAAGCCAGCAAUGAUGAAGAUGAUGCAUAAGUUUUUACAUUUUUCUAUGCUCUUUUGGUCUCUGUGUGCGCAAUAAUUAUUUUCACAGAUACGAUGUGAUCCUGAAAGAUACUUACCCCUUGGUGGCAUAAAGGUACCCUGUAUAUCAAUAUGUUUAUAAAAUUAGGGAUGGAAUUUGUGCGUUAUGUGUUUUCUAGAUUAAAUGGAAAGCAUGGUCAAUAGAAUCUAUCUCAUUGAGAUGUACAGAACAGGAAUUGAUUGAAGGAAGGAGGUAUCCCUUACAAGUAUUAGAUGAUAUAUUACGAACUGACGUGUAUGAAUAUAGAAGGACAGGGGGCAGGUGUAUGUUGAGAAUUUUUUUUACUCCAGAAUGUUCUAUUCCGCUAUAUGGAUUUUUCAUACUUCACUCUAA